UACGUAGGGUGCGAGCGUUGCCCGGAUUUAUUGGGCGUAAAGGGCGCGUAGGCGGCCUGGCGCGUCGGCUGUGAAAUCUCCCGGCUCAACUGGGAGGGGACGGCCGAUACGGCUGGGCUUGAGCGAGGUAGGGGAGAGUGGAAUUCCCGGUGUAGUGGUGGAAUGCGUAGAUAUCGGGAAGAACACCCGUGGCGAAGGCGGUUCUCUGGGACGGUACUGACGCUGAGACGCGAAAGCGUGGGGAGCGAACAGG
This 253-nucleotide ribosomal RNA is filed under the name uncultured bacterium. Its description in RNAcentral is "partial 16S ribosomal RNA". It matches the Rfam family "Bacterial small subunit ribosomal RNA", at positions 524 to 776 of the family's 1533-position model. The record is from RNAcentral.